AAAACUUUAUACCAAAAGCAAGGAAGAAUAGCAGCACACAAUAAUUUGUUUACAAUGCAUUGAGAAUUAUAUCCAACUUGGUAAAACACAAUUCAUAUUGGAUUCAGGCUGUUACACAAAUAGCAAAGCACAAUAGCAGCACCCACCUAGUCUACUACUCGUUAUACAAUAUAUAUUUUCAGAUUGAAGGAAAUAUAGACCACUGAUUCCAUCGUUUGAAUUUCUCAAAAAAAGAUAUAGGAGGAAAAUGUCACAUGAUAUACCAAAAGCAAGUCCUAACAGUAGCCUAAAGAGAAUGGAUAUAUAUAGUUCUUCUAUGUCAUAUGGUGAUAGUAGUGUAUUUGGAUAGCCCCGUCAGAAGAUCUUGCUCGAGGUGUUGUCUGAAAGAUCUGUUGAUAGAAUUCUAAAGAGAUGAGUGAACCUAGAAUGGAAACACAUAAAAUUUUGCAACCCAAAAAAGUAUAUCCACAAGCAUGGCACAAGAAGCACAACAUUACUAAAAAAAUGUCUUCGUAGUUUUGAUGGAGGUACUACCAAAAGUAGGGCAGGAAAUCUCAAAUUAGAACACCAGGAAGCAACCCAUAGCAGACACAAGAUUAGCCAUGGUAGAUAGCUACACAAAUCCAUGACCCCCUAAUCAUCUACACAAGUCCUCCCCACCUCCUUCCUCAUGUUGGCUCCGACCGGGACGGCACACCAGUCAGCACCACGAAGGGGUCAAACACAACCAGGCUCUAACUGGGACGUCACACCAGUCAGCACCACGAAGGGGUAAAACAUAACCAGGCCAUGAAGUACUCAGCAAGAAGAAGGGGUCAAACACAACCAGGCCAAGUACUGGUGGAUUUUAAAUGGGAAAAGGCUAAUUAAACAUGAGAAGAUUGUUACCGACCAUACGUCCCCUGCAUUAAGGUGAAUGCCUGCUCCAGAAGUCGAUGUGGUGUGAAUCUUUAGAAAAGCCCAUAGUACUCCAAACUCCUACAAAAUCAUUCACAUUUUUUUAUUCUUCAGCAUAAGAAUGGGGGUGCAUGUACAAUAACUCACGGGAUUGAUGAGCACAAAGGAAAUUCAAGACAUAAAUCAAUCGGCCAGAACCUUGACUUCCAGUCGACCAGCGCACAUUGUUAUGCUUGCGAAGGGAGACAUCGACGUUAGAAUCACAUAAGUAUCUCACGUCAGAGAUCAUCACUACCUUACACAGCGUCGUGCCGACUCCUACACCUUCUUGUCAUGGAAGGAAAAACCAGAGAGUAAGGCCCAUUUCGAAAGCUACCAAAUUCACCACCCAGAGUCCAUUAUAUUUAUCCAGUGAGUUGCCUCCCAUAAUGCCCACAAUUAUGGUCACAAUCUAUAUAUGCUCAUGAGCAAAAAGUAGUUGACAGUAAACUAUAAGCAUUACUCAUAAACUAUUAAUGCUGACUCCUACGUCUAAAUAUUGGCUCAACUUGUUCUAGUUAAUCAGUAGGCACAACAAUAAAAUAUAAUUCUUCUAAUUGACACACAUGAAAAUAAUGGAAGAAAGGGAAGAGAAAAAAUAACUUCAGCAUAGGAACAGCUGCCAUCCGACAUAACACAUGCCUUCAGGUCAUCUACAUAAAGAAAAAAUGAUAAGGCUUUUAAAGGCUUCAUUGAGCAGGUGCACAUGUGACUCGUAUGUCCAUAUUAGCAUAGGCAUAUUUUAAGAGCACUGUCAUUUUCCCUUUUCAACAUACGAUGCCCUGAUGUUAAGAAGUACAUUAACAGGUAAGUAGUGCAGCUUGCCGCACACUGCCUAAGUCCACUCCACAUAACAGGUCGCAUCCAUCAAAAAGCAUGUGGGCACAUCAAAUAAGAGAGUGGCCAUUGAGAUAAGAGAUAACACAUCCCAUAAUAAUACAAAGCAAAUUUUCCUAUGAUCAGGAUACAAAAAUCUACAUAGGUGCCCAUUAGAAUUACACAAGAAACUGCGUAAAGAUCAAAAACAUGGGCUUGGAAGGUACAUAAUUCAAGGUUCAUUCUUAUUCUGAUAAAAAUAUAAGGUAACAACAAAAAUCUAUAUAUUUGAACCCUUGUAUGAUGUAUAGUCGAAUAAUAUAGAUUGACCAUUACCAGAAUAGAUUUGGCAAGAAAAAAAGACUACAAUCUUGUACAGUUCAAACUAUAGGCUGGCCCUCAGAAUGCUGGUGUGGUCACAAAAUCAUAGAUAAUCCAGAGAAGCAUAACAGUGCCAUGCAAGAAAAAUAAACCAAGAGAUAGGAGCAUCGAAGUAAAAUGUGAAAGAAAAGAACCGGUGCAUCCAAGAUAGUGAAUCUUGUAUUUUCAGUCGCAAAGUGGGCUCUACCAACUUCGACAGUCUUCCCCUGAGCACAUGCAAGAAAAAGCAUAAGAAACCGUAGAGCAUUAACACUGAUCAUUAAGCAGGCACAAUAGUGUAUCUGGAACAUAAUAAAAGCUGAUGUAACAUUAGGCACUCUCAAGAUUCUAUACUUGUGGGUUGUGGCCUAGAGGUAAGUAAUAAUGUUUCAAAUAGAGAGUUCAAAGUUUAGGUCAUCAAUGGAUUGCACCUCCUCAAACUCGGAUUGUUCAUUAAAUAGAUCUGAGGAGCACUUGGUAUGAGUGGCCUCUAUUCAUGUUGCCAAGCACACAAAUAUUAGCAUUUAAUUUUGGGGAAAAGAUUAAAUGCUGGAUAGAAAAUGCCAUGCUCUCCAUUUAACAUACACUGGAAAUUUCAUUUCAAUUCAGCAUAGCUUGAACUCCUGAUAGGCAAUUCGUGAGUUAACAUUUGAACUAAGAUGGCCUUCAUAAAACAUAUAUGAUCCAGUUUGAGAACAUUUGUAGCAUUUAAAAUGAAUGCAUUAACAUUUGGACUAAGAUGGCCUUCAUAAAACAUCAUCGAUUAUCCAAAAAGGCGCAUAUGUCGUGCUUUCUUUAUCGACACAAAAAAACCAGGAGCACUCUUGCAAAUAAAUGUGAGAAGCAUGGGCAUUAUUGCAGAUUAUUAAUCCACGGUCCUAUGAAAAAUCUCAAGAACUAAUAUAAGUUGGUGUCUCUUUACUUCAGCAAAAGAAGCAUAGGACCCUCAAAAAAAGUGUUAAAAUUUACAAAAAUCUAUUCAGCAGCAGCCAAGACGACCAAGCAAGCAUGGACCAAUAUAUAGAUCAACUUUAUGGUAAAUAGCGGCCUACCUCUUUCUCGACAAUGGCCAUAAUGAGAAGGUCACUAACUGUUCUUCUUUUGCGGCAGACACGCGCGUGCCUACAGCCUUCCCUUGGUACAAUGAAGUGCUCGACCGGGGA
Molecule: long non-coding RNA, 3275 nt
Filed under: Triticum aestivum (bread wheat)
Lineage: Eukaryota; Viridiplantae; Streptophyta; Magnoliopsida; Poales; Poaceae
Description: long non-coding RNA (TAES_LNC024199)
Source: RNAcentral